UAGGCAAAGGUAAACGAUUCGAGAUAUACUGUAAACGUUGCUCGAAAUGAAAUAAUCGUCAAAGGUUGGAAUAUCCAUAUUUGAACAAGUAUGGUUGGUGUAGCGGAUUGUCUUACUGUACGUUAUUCGAUAAACAUUGAAUAGCUUUUUUUUUUUAACUGAGGUUACGCAAAGAAACAAUUUAAUGGAAAGUAGUUCAUUUUAAAUACACUCAAUUCUCGUUUCUUUUUAACAGCUCCGUCCAUGGCAGAUUAGCGCCUAU
This is a non-coding RNA of Schizosaccharomyces pombe (fission yeast), 262 nucleotides long. Lineage: Eukaryota; Fungi; Ascomycota; Schizosaccharomycetes; Schizosaccharomycetales; Schizosaccharomycetaceae. The record is from the annotation of a GenBank genome assembly.